AGGACCGUACACCGGCGUCGCCGACGGCCGGGUGGUGUUCUGGAACGGCGAGGCGUGGUCGGAUUUCGCCUAUACCUCUCCUAACAGGUCAGAGCUUUGUGACCCCAAGCCUUCAGCUACAAGUUAUUUGAAGAACGAGCAUAUCUGUGGGCGGCCACUGGGUCUUCGAUUUGACAAGAAAACUGGAGACCUGUAUAUUGCUGAUGCAUAUUUUGGAUUGCUGAAAGUAGGCCCUGAGGGUGGUUUGGCUACAUCGCUAACCACAGAAGCGGAUGGAGUCCCACUGAAGUUCACAAAUGAUUUGGAUAUUGAUGAAGACGGAGUUAUUUAUUUCACUGAUAGCAGUACAAAUUACCAGAGGAGGAACUUCAUGCAGCUGGUUUUCUCUGCCGAGCCUUCGGGGAGGCUUCUAAAAUACGACCCCACUACAAAGGAAACCACUGUCCUCCUUCGUGACCUUCAGUUCCCCAAUGGCGUGUCCCUCAGCAAGGAUAAAUCCUUCUUCCUCUUCGGUGAAGGAUUACGUGGCAGAUUAAGUAAAUACUGGGUGAAGGGUGAAAAGGCUGGAACUACAGAGGUCUUUGCUACUCUACCUGGAUUCCCAGAUAAUGUGAGAACAAAUGAGAGAGGUGAAUUCUGG
Molecule: unclassified non-coding RNA, 640 nt
Filed under: Hevea brasiliensis (rubber tree)
Lineage: Eukaryota; Viridiplantae; Streptophyta; Magnoliopsida; Malpighiales; Euphorbiaceae
Source: RNAcentral